GGGAAUGUGGCUUAGUGGUAGAGCACUUGCCUUGCAUGCAUGAGGCCCUGGGUUUGAUUCCUCAGCACCA
RNAcentral lists this transfer RNA (70 nucleotides) under Dipodomys ordii (Ord's kangaroo rat). It matches the Rfam family "tRNA". Rfam says of the family: Transfer RNA (tRNA) molecules are approximately 80 nucleotides in length. Their secondary structure includes four short double-helical elements and three loops (D, anti-codon, and T loops). Further hydrogen bonds mediate the characteristic L-shaped molecular structure. tRNAs have two regions of fundamental functional importance: the anti-codon, which is responsible for specific mRNA codon recognition, and the 3' end, to which the tRNAs corresponding amino acid is attached (by aminoacyl-tRNA synthetases). tRNAs cope with the degeneracy of the genetic code in two manners: having more than one tRNA (with a specific anti-codon) for a particular amino acid; and 'wobble' base-pairing, i.e. permitting non-standard base-pairing at the 3rd anti-codon position. The record is from Rfam by way of RNAcentral. Lineage: Eukaryota; Metazoa; Chordata; Mammalia; Rodentia; Heteromyidae.